This 269-nucleotide long non-coding RNA is filed under the name Populus trichocarpa (black cottonwood). RNAcentral's name for it is "long non-coding RNA (PTRI_LNC003756)". The record is from RNAcentral. Lineage: Eukaryota; Viridiplantae; Streptophyta; Magnoliopsida; Malpighiales; Salicaceae.
UACUAGAUACAAAUCAAUCAUGGGUUCAAUUCUAUCAUGUUGUCAGGUUUUAGUUUUGUCAUGCUGUCGGUUUAUUUCAGGAUCAUUUCCAGGUUCUGCUACCUACAAUUAAGGCAUGGGUCAGUCCUAACAUGAUGAGCUUCAUUUUGACUUAGAGUAUUGUGAGGAAAAGAACCUGCAGUAUCAUAUGAAUUAAGAUCAAGUGUUGGAGCAGCAGAUAAAGAGCUCAAGCAUGGUGGAGUGACUGUUGUGGGAUGUAUUCCUGCAAU